This 218-nucleotide long non-coding RNA is filed under the name Limulus polyphemus (Atlantic horseshoe crab). Its description in RNAcentral is "uncharacterized LOC111086702, transcript variant X2". The record is from RNAcentral. Lineage: Eukaryota; Metazoa; Arthropoda; Merostomata; Xiphosura; Limulidae.
UAUGAAUAAUUCUUUCAGGAAGAUAAUUUUACCACAGAGGUCAGUACUGAGGAAGGAAGGUACCAUUAUUAUAGUGUGCAGGGACCCCCAGGACCUAGAGGCUACCAAGGGCCCCCAGGACCUCCAGGACCAAAAGGAGAUAAGGGUGAUAUUGGUAGAGAUGGAUAUCCUGGAACUUCAGGUUUACCUGGCCCCCCAGGCCAUAUUUUCAUGAUACC